RNAcentral lists this ribosomal RNA (472 nucleotides) under Streptococcus sp. RNAcentral describes it as "bacterial SSU rRNA". It matches the Rfam family "Bacterial small subunit ribosomal RNA", at positions 66 to 522 of the family's 1533-position model. Lineage: Bacteria; Bacillati; Bacillota; Bacilli; Lactobacillales; Streptococcaceae. The record is from RNAcentral.
GCUGAAGACUUUAGCUUGCUAAAGUUGGAAGAGUUGCGAACGGGUGAGUAACGCGUAGGUGGCCAGCGUACUAGCGGGGGAUAACUAUUGGAAACGAUAGCUAAUACCGCAGAACAGCAUUUAACCCAUGUUAGAUGCUUGAAAGGAGCAAUUGCUUCACUAGUAGAUGGACCUGCGUUGUAUUAGCUAGUUGGUGAGGUAACGGCUCACCAAGGCGACGAUACAUAGCCGACCUGAGAGGGUGAUCGGCCACACUGGGACUGAGACACGGCCCAGACUCCUACGGGAGGCAGCAGUAGGGAAUCUUCGGCAAUGGGGGCAACCCUGACCGAGCAACGCCGCGUGAGUGAAGAAGGUUUUCGGAUCGUAAAGCUCUGUUGUAAGAGAAGAACGUGUGUGAGAGUGGAAAGUUCACACAGUGACGGUAACUUACCAGAAAGGGACGGCUAACUACGUGCCAGCAGCCGCGGUA